Long non-coding RNA from Talpa occidentalis (Iberian mole), 327 nucleotides. RefSeq lists it as uncharacterized. The transcript is spliced from 3 exons. The record is from RefSeq and is a predicted model, not a curated record. NCBI's taxonomy places the organism in Eukaryota, Metazoa, Chordata, Mammalia, Eulipotyphla, Talpidae.
UCCUCCUGAUACAUGUCGUGGGAAUUGGUCCUGCUGUGGAAGCAACUGCUACUACUUUUCAAAGGAAGAGAAAAGUUGGAAUGAGAGUAAGCAGUCCUGUGAAGCCCAGGGUUCUCAUCUCAUUAAGAUUGAUGAUGAGGAUGAGCAGCGAUUCAUUCAACAAAGAAUCAGAUACAACUAUUGGGUUGGAUUACACAGGAAAGGAACUACACAUCCCUGGUUGUGGCAGGAUGGAGUGGAACUUUCCCGGAAGCUGAGUUUUCAACCAAGUACCCCUGAUGCCAAAUGUGGAUACAUCAAGUUAACAAAUAUUGCUACUGCUGAUUG